RNAcentral lists this ribosomal RNA (297 nucleotides) under uncultured Sphingomonadaceae bacterium. Its description in RNAcentral is "partial 16S ribosomal RNA". It matches the Rfam family "Bacterial small subunit ribosomal RNA", at positions 111 to 425 of the family's 1533-position model. Lineage: Bacteria; Pseudomonadati; Pseudomonadota; Alphaproteobacteria; Sphingomonadales; Sphingomonadaceae. The record is from RNAcentral.
UAACGCGUGGGAAUCUGCCUAUCAGUGGGGAAUAACGACGGGAAACUGUCGCUAAUACCGCAUACGCCCUUAGGGGGAAAGAUUUAUCGCUGAUAGAUGAGCCCGCGUACGAUUAGCUAGUUGGUGAGGUAAUGGCUCACCAAGGCUACGAUCGUUAGCUGGUUUGAGAGGAUGGUCAGCCCCACUGGGACUGAGACACGGCCCAGACUCCUACGGGAGGCAGCAGUGGGGAAUAUUGGACAAUGGGCGAAAGCCUGAUCCAGCAAUGCCGCGUGAGUGAUGAAGGCCUUAGGGUUU